GCUGGUAAGAGGCAAAACAACUCACUUUGGCCGACUCCAUGGUCUUUGCCAUACCACCAGGAACAGACUUCUAAGAGAUGAACUAUCUCUUAGAAGGGAAGAGCUAAAGUUGUCUAUUGAUGUUGGGCUCCUGGGAGCACAGGCCCUGGAAGAAGCCAUGUCCUACUGAUGAACUUCACCUCCUCCAUCCAGGCAGCCUCCUGGGGUGCCCCCUACCCCUCAGGCUGGGUUAGGGCGCCUCUAGUGAAAAUGUCUGUUUAAGUCAUGUGUCUGCCUUGCUUUGACUUGUUCACACUCAGUAUUUGUGCAGUGGGAGUCUCCCUUCAUUGAAUGAAUAAGGUUUCAGGACUGGAGGAGACCUGGGCAGGGGAACUUGGUAUGAUGGUGGUACAGACAGACCUAUGAACUCACCCAUGUUCACCCUCUGCAGCCUGUUGAGGCCCACAGGGGCAAAACGUGGGGGAAGUCAAGUGCCUUGCUGUAUGCUUUGGGCUCUUAAAGGAGAAUGGAACCAUUAGCCAUGGCCAGGGGCCAGGGCACCUGAGUUGACCCUGUAAGGGACAUUCUUGAGAGUGGAGGCCAAGCUGGUACUGGGUGUGGCAUUACUCUGGAUCUGGAAUGUAGUGGAACCAGUGGCUGGGCUGGUUAGGGCCCCAGGCUGCGGCCCCAGGCUCUGUCCCUCUCUGCAGUUUUGACAGUGUUCCAGAAGCCAUCCUCCACCCCUCACUCCAUGUACCACUAUGUGAGUGAAAAGAAAAUCUUUAUUUUUCAGGAAGAGAAACAGAGGAGAGGAACUCAGACUUAGGAGGCUGGGGCCACGGGUCCAUGGUUGUCCAGGUAGCGCCUCAGGGCUGUGGGAUAAUCUGUUAUGACACCAGUAGCC
RNAcentral lists this long non-coding RNA (883 nucleotides) under Marmota monax (woodchuck). The record is from RNAcentral. Lineage: Eukaryota; Metazoa; Chordata; Mammalia; Rodentia; Sciuridae.